Molecule: transfer RNA, 88 nt
Filed under: Geovibrio thiophilus
Lineage: Bacteria; Pseudomonadati; Deferribacterota; Deferribacteres; Deferribacterales; Geovibrionaceae
Description: tRNA-Leu
Rfam family: tRNA
About the family: Transfer RNA (tRNA) molecules are approximately 80 nucleotides in length. Their secondary structure includes four short double-helical elements and three loops (D, anti-codon, and T loops).
Source: RNAcentral
GCCGUGGUGGUGGAAUUGGUAGACACGCAGGUUUCAGGUACCUGUGGGAGUUAAUCCUGUGGGGGUUCGAGUCCCCCCCUCGGCACUA